AACAUACUCCCUCCGAUCCAUAUUACUUGUCAUAGCUUUGUCUAGAUACACAUGUAUCUAGACACGUUUUGUUGUGUAGGUACAUGUGUAUCUAAAUAAAGCUGAAACAAGUUAUUUGGAUCAGAGGGAGUAUUAG
This is a non-coding RNA of Brachypodium distachyon (stiff brome), 136 nucleotides long. The record is from Rfam. NCBI's taxonomy places the organism in Eukaryota, Viridiplantae, Streptophyta, Magnoliopsida, Poales, Poaceae.